Molecule: ribosomal RNA, 539 nt
Filed under: Escherichia coli
Lineage: Bacteria; Pseudomonadati; Pseudomonadota; Gammaproteobacteria; Enterobacterales; Enterobacteriaceae
Description: partial 23S ribosomal RNA
Rfam family: Bacterial large subunit ribosomal RNA
Source: RNAcentral
UGUGUGUUAGUGGAAGCGUCUGGAAAGGCGCGCGAUACAGGGUGACAGCCCCGUACACAAAAAUGCACAUAUUGUGAGCUCGAUGAGUAGGGCGGGACACGUGGUAUCCUGUCUGAAUAUGGGGGGACCAUCCUCCAAGGCUAAAUACUCCUGACUGACCGAUAGUGAACCAGUACCGUGAGGGAAAGGCGAAAAGAACCCCGGCGAGGGGAGUGAAAAAGAACCUGAAACCGUGUACGUACAAGCAGUGGGAGCCUCUUUUAUGGGGUGACUGCGUACCUUUUGUAUAAUGGGUCAGCGACUUAUAUUCUGUAGCAAGGUUAACCGAAUAGGGGAGCCGAAGGGAAACCGAGUCUUAACUGGGCGUUAAGUUGCAGGGUAUAGACCCGAAACCCGGUGAUCUAGCCAUGGGCAGGUUGAAGGUUGGGUAACACUAACUGGAGGACCGAACCGACUAAUGUUGAAAAAUUAGCGGAUGACUUGUGGCUGGGGGUGAAAGGCCAAUCAAACCGGGAGAUAGCUGGUUCUCCCCGAAAGCU